RNAcentral lists this ribosomal RNA (446 nucleotides) under uncultured bacterium. Its description in RNAcentral is "bacterial SSU rRNA". It matches the Rfam family "Bacterial small subunit ribosomal RNA", at positions 330 to 792 of the family's 1533-position model. The record is from RNAcentral.
UCCAGACUCCUACGGGAGGCAGCAGUGGGGGAUAUUGCACAAUGGGGGGAACCCUGAUGCAGCGACGCCGCGUGGGUGAAGGAGUGCUCCGGCAUGUAAAGCCCUAUCAGCAGGGAAGAAGAUGACAGUACCUGACUAAGAAGCCCCGGCUAACUACGUGCCAGCAGCCGCGGUAAUACGUAGGGGGCAAGCGUUAUCCGGAUUUACUGGGUGUAAAGGGAGCGUAGGUGGCAUGGCAAGCCAGAAGUGAAAACCCGGGGCUUAACCCCGCGGAUUGCUUUUGGAACUGGCAGGCUGGAGUGCAGGAGGGGCAGGCGGAAUUCCUGGUGUAGCGGUGAAAUGCGUAGAUAUCAGGAGGAACACCGGUGGCGAAGGCGGCCUGCUGGACUGUAACUGACACUGAGGCUCGAAAGCGUGGGGAGCAAACAGGAUUAGAUACCCCGGUA